RNAcentral lists this microRNA precursor (115 nucleotides) under Pelobates cultripes (western spadefoot toad). Lineage: Eukaryota; Metazoa; Chordata; Amphibia; Anura; Pelobatidae. The record is from RNAcentral.
GUAUGUCUGUGUGUGUGUGUAUGUGUCAGUAUGUCUGUGUGUGUAUGUCAGUAUGUCUGUCAUAGACACACACAGACACACACAGACAUACUGACAUACAUACACAAACAGACAU